This 484-nucleotide ribosomal RNA is filed under the name uncultured bacterium. Its description in RNAcentral is "partial 16S ribosomal RNA". It matches the Rfam family "Bacterial small subunit ribosomal RNA", at positions 29 to 523 of the family's 1533-position model. The record is from RNAcentral.
AGUGAACGCUGGCGGCGUGCUUAACACAUGCAAGUCGAACGAGAACGGAUUAUAGCUUGCUAUAAUUGUCAGCUAAGUGGCGCACGGGUGAGUAAUGUAUAGGUAAUAUGCCUCUUACUAAGGGAUAACAAAUGGAAACGUUUGCUAAUACCUUAUACUUCUUAUUAACAUAAGUUAAUAAGGGAAAGAUUUAUUGGUAAGAGAUUAGCCUGUAUUGUAUCAGUUAGUUGGUGGGGUAAUGGCUUACCAAGACUAUGACACAUAACUGGUUUGAGAGGGUAGUCAGUCACACUGGAACUGUGACACGGUGCAGACUCCUACGGGAGGCAGCAGUGCGGAAUAUUGCACAAUAGACGGAGAUCUGAUGCAGCAACGCCGCGUGGAGGAUGACACAUUUCGGUGCAUAAACUCCUUUUAUAUAAGAAGAUAAUGACGGUAUUAUAUGAAUAAGCACCGGCUAACUCCGUGCCAGCCGCCGCCGUAA